This 277-nucleotide unclassified non-coding RNA is filed under the name uncultured fungus. RNAcentral's name for it is "partial contains small subunit ribosomal RNA, internal transcribed spacer 1, and 5.8S ribosomal RNA". The stretch from base 1 to 73 matches the Rfam family "Eukaryotic small subunit ribosomal RNA", at positions 1759 to 1831 of the family's 1831-position model. The record is from RNAcentral. Lineage: Eukaryota; Fungi.
UCAAACUUGGUCAUUUAGAGGAAGUAAAAGUCGUAACAAGGUCUCCGUUGGUGAACCAGCGGAGGGAUCAUUACCGAGUUUACAACUCUCAAACCCUAUGUGAACCUACCUAUCGUUGCUUCGGCAGGCGUGUCCCAGGCCCCGCGCCUGGAAUCAGGCCCCUGCCGGAGGUCACAAACUCUUGUAUUUUACAGUGGUAUCUUCUGAGUUACAAAACAAACAAGUUAAAACUUUCAACAACGGAUCUCUUGGCUCUGGCAUCGAUGAAGAACGCAGC